ACCAGGGCAUGCUUAGUAGCGGCGAGUGAGCGGCAAAGCUCAAAUUUGGAAUCUGCCAGCAAUGGCCGAGUUGUAAUUUGUAGAUGGUAACUCUGUAAGGAGUCUUUGCUAAAGUUUCCUGGAAUGGAACAUCAUGGAGGGUGACAAUCCCGUGAGGCAUUGACGUACUUGCGUGUAGAGUGCUAUCAAAGAGUCGAGUUGUUUGGGAAUGCAGCUCAAAGUGGGUGGUAGACACCAUCUAAAGCUAAAUAUUGGCGAGAGACCGAUAGCGAAAAAGUACUGUGAAGGAAAGAUGAAAAGGACUUUGAAAAGAGGGUGAAAAAGAACGUGAAAUUGUUAAUAUGGAAGGGUAUAAAAUUAGACAUGAAGCUUUGAGUUCGGCAGUCUCUCGGGAUUGUUUUGUCUCUUUGCUUCGCACCAGCAUCAGUUUUGGCAGGAGGAUAAACAACAUGGAAUGUAGCUGCUUGCAGUGUUAUAGACUUGUUGCAUACUCUUCGCCGGGAUUGAGGUCAGCCUUGUAGGAUGCUGGGUAACUUU
This 537-nucleotide ribosomal RNA is filed under the name [Candida] sp. UL81. RNAcentral describes it as "eukaryotic LSU rRNA". It matches the Rfam family "Eukaryotic large subunit ribosomal RNA", at positions 68 to 641 of the family's 3401-position model. The record is from RNAcentral. Lineage: Eukaryota; Fungi; Ascomycota; Saccharomycetes; Saccharomycetales.